Molecule: transfer RNA, 95 nt
Filed under: Xenorhabdus aichiensis
Lineage: Bacteria; Pseudomonadati; Pseudomonadota; Gammaproteobacteria; Enterobacterales; Morganellaceae
Description: tRNA-Sec
Rfam family: Selenocysteine transfer RNA
Source: RNAcentral
GGAAGAUCAUCGUCCCCGGUGGGGCGGCUGGGCUUCAAAUCCAGAUGGGGCCGCCAGCGGCUCCCGGCAGGUUCAACUCCUGUGAUCUUCCGCCA